UAGCCGUAAACGAUACUCGCUAGGUGUCGGCCACGGUGCGACCGUUGUCGGUGCCGUAGGGAAGCCGUGAAGCGAGCCACCUGGGAAGUACGGCCGCAAGGCUGAAACUUAAAGGAAUUGGCGGGGGAGCACCACAACGGGUGGGGCUUGCGGUUUAAUUGGAUUCAACGCCGGAAAUCUUACCGGGACCGACAGCAACAUGAAGGCCAGGCUGAAGACUUUGCCGGAUUAGCUGAGAGGAGGUGCAUGGCGUAGUCGUGU
This 261-nucleotide ribosomal RNA is filed under the name uncultured archaeon. Its description in RNAcentral is "partial 16S ribosomal RNA". It matches the Rfam family "Archaeal small subunit ribosomal RNA", at positions 748 to 1009 of the family's 1478-position model. The record is from RNAcentral.